This 21-nucleotide microRNA is filed under the name Populus trichocarpa (black cottonwood). RNAcentral describes it as "ptc-miR477a-5p". Its record names the gene ptc-miR477a-5p. Lineage: Eukaryota; Viridiplantae; Streptophyta; Magnoliopsida; Malpighiales; Salicaceae. The record is from miRBase by way of RNAcentral. RNAcentral also lists the same sequence under 1 other name.
AUCUCCCUCAGAGGCUUCCAA